UUCAACCAAGAGCCUGGAAGACUUUAUGUUGAGUUACAGUUUUUCUGUGCCGUGUUUAACUUUGGUCAGGGAUUUAUUUCCUUUGGAAUCUUUGGAUUAGAUAAACAUUUAAUCAUCCUGCCUUUCAAAAGAAGACUUGAAUUCCUAUGGAACAAUAAAGACACAGCAGAAAACAGGGAUUCUCCUGUUUCAGAGGAAAUAAAAAUGACCUGUCAACAAUUUAUCCAUUAUCACCGUGACCUCUGUAUCCGAAACAUUGUCAAAGAAAGAAGGUAAGCAAAGUGCCAGUACAGGUUCUAGACAAUUAUAUUUUAAAUGAUUAAUUGAUUAAUUUUGGAUUGUAAUAGGCUAAAUGAGGUGGUUGUGACUGAUUACAUGAUUAUUUUUACAUAUGCAUGUAAAAGUUACAGGAAUUAUGAGUGAGUUUAUAGUUUCAGAAAUGGCAUAUAAAAGAACCAUUUACGUUGAUUUUAAUAUUUUAAAAAUGUCAUAUAACUUCUGAUUGCCAUAUAAAAUGUGAACACUUCAGUUUAGAGUGAACCAAAAUGUCAUAGAAUAUUGACACUGAUUUCAAGUUGGCCAGUAGUGUCUCUCACAAAACUUUGAGAUACAUUGGAUUUAGAAGUGAUGUUAUAUUCCCACCUCAGCAUUUCUUGACAAAUGUAUUUGUCAAGAAAAUGAAAUGAAAUUUCUGCCUCUUAAUUUUGUUGCUUAUGUUUCACUUCAAGUUCUAAUCUUUAGUCUGUGACAUAAUAUUUAUUAUACUAAUCCUUAAGGUAUGAAGUAUAUAGCAGGUUCUCUUUUAAUUUUGGAUGAGGAAAAAAAUUUUUUUAUAAACGAAGUAUACAGCAGGAAAUUAUGAACUUUGAAUAAAUACUAUACUACCAGUAUUUCUCUUUGUCAUAAAAGAGAAA
RNAcentral lists this long non-coding RNA (914 nucleotides) under Homo sapiens (human). RNAcentral describes it as "HSALNT0043352". Lineage: Eukaryota; Metazoa; Chordata; Mammalia; Primates; Hominidae. The record is from RNAcentral.